Molecule: long non-coding RNA, 220 nt
Organism: Nothoprocta perdicaria
Lineage: Eukaryota; Metazoa; Chordata; Aves; Tinamiformes; Tinamidae
Exons: 3
Source: RefSeq, a predicted model, not a curated record
CUAAUUUUCGCCUGGUACAUGUUGCUUUGCAGACCUAUGUUGUUCACAGGACUUGAUUUUGAUUCUGCUCCAUCUCAUCAGAGUUCUCACUGGUASGAGGGAACUCUCUGAAGUCUUACUGAAGGAUCCUGAAGGAGCUUUCGCUGAUCCAACCACAGACCARUUUGGCCUGUUGCUCCAUGAGGAAUGAAGUGAAAGACCUUUAAUACAAAUUAUGACC